Molecule: ribosomal RNA, 429 nt
Filed under: uncultured archaeon
Lineage: Archaea
Description: bacterial SSU rRNA
Rfam family: Archaeal small subunit ribosomal RNA
Source: RNAcentral
UACCAGCACCCCGAGUGGUCGGGACGAUUAUUGGGCCUAAAGCAUCCGUAGCCGGUCCUGCAAGUCUUCCGUUAAAUCCACCUGCUUAACAGAUGGGCUGCGGAGGAUACUACAUGACUAGGAGGCGGGAGAGGCAAGCGGUACUUAAUGGGUAGGGGUAAAAUCCGUUGAUCCAUUGAAGACCACCAGUGGCGAAGGCGGCUUGCCAGAACGCACUCGACGGUGAGGGAUGAAAGCUGGGGGAGCAAACCGGAUUAGAUACCCGGGUAGUCCCAGCUGUAAACGAUGCAGACUCGGUGAUGAAUAGGCUUCGUGCCUAUUCAGUGCCGCAGGGAAGCCGUUAAGUCUGCCGCCUGGGGAGUACGGUCGCAAGACUGAAACUUAAAGGAAUUGGCGGGGAGCACCACGAAGGGGUGAAGCCUGCGGUUC